GAAGAAAGAAAGAAACCAACCAUUCUGGGGUUGUAGCUCAAUGGUAGAGCGCUUGCCUAGCAUAUGUGAGGCACUGGGUUCGAUCCUCAGCACCACAUUAAAAUAAAUGAAUAAAAUAAAGGUAUUAUGUCCAUCUACAACUAAAAAUAUUUUUAAAAAGAGAAACCAUUAAAUAGAAGCAGAAACUAUUAGAUAUCAAUUUUCAGUUAUAAUGAACUGAGACUAUAUUCUCAGUUUGUAGUUAUUAGGAGCUAAACUAGUUUGAUAUAUUGUAUGAAAAAUUUCUUCAUGACUUCCCUUCUGAACAAACACAAAGUUGCAAUUGGUUACAUGGCUUGAAUUGUGAAUUUGUUAUUCGAAGUGCUUAAUUAGCUUGCUGAGUUUGAGAUUCUUAAAAAGAGGCCCUUGGGUCUGAUGGGAAUUUGUAUUUCACUUUUAUUUGUUGCUGGAAUAAAGAUAACUGCAAUUUAUUUAGCCUUUACUAUGUACUAAGAACUUUGAGAUGGAUGUUAUUUAUUAUUUUAUAGAUAAUCUGAUCCUUAGAGACAUUAGUACAUAUAGUCUACUAACUGGUUAUUCUAGAUUUUUGUAUCCCAGUUUCUCUGAUUUUAAAACUUGAACUCUUUUUUUAAAUUUUUUUUUAAAUUGUAGAUGGACACAAUACCUUUAUUUUGUUUUUUUAGGUUGUUUUUUUCUUUAAUAUUUAUUUUUCAGUUUUUGGCAGACACAACAACUUUAUUUUAUUUUUAUGUGGUGCUGAGGAUCGAACCCAGCGCCCCGCGCAUGCCAGGCGAAUGCGUUACCGCUUGAGCCACAUCCCAGCCCCCCUUUUUUUUUUUUUUAAUGUGAUGCUGAGGAUUGAACCCAGUGUCUCAUGCAUGCUAGGCAAGUGCUCUACCACUGAGCCGCAACCCAGCCCAAAAACUUGAACUCUUUACCACCAUAAUAUGUUAUCAUAGUAUAUUUAACUUGCUUUGGGUAGUAAUUUUUUAGGAGAAAAGCAUUUAAAACAUUU
RNAcentral lists this long non-coding RNA (1015 nucleotides) under Marmota monax (woodchuck). Lineage: Eukaryota; Metazoa; Chordata; Mammalia; Rodentia; Sciuridae. The record is from RNAcentral.